Molecule: microRNA, 23 nt
Filed under: Heligmosomoides polygyrus
Lineage: Eukaryota; Metazoa; Nematoda; Chromadorea; Rhabditida; Heligmosomidae
Description: hpo-miR-61b-5p
Gene: hpo-miR-61b-5p
Source: miRBase by way of RNAcentral
UGGGUAUGUGUCUUAGUCCCGGC